AGCCACAGCCAUAUCACCCUGUAGCCCAAGACUGGUUGCCCACUGAAGCUAAACAGGGUUGAGUCUGAUCAGUAUCUGGAUGGGAGACCUCCUGGGAAAAAUAGGUUGCUGUUGGAA
Ribosomal RNA from Sinocyclocheilus grahami, 117 nucleotides. The record is from Ensembl. NCBI's taxonomy places the organism in Eukaryota, Metazoa, Chordata, Actinopteri, Cypriniformes, Cyprinidae.